UGGGGAAUAUUGGGCAAUGGACGCAAGUCUGACCCAGCAACGCCGCGUGAAGGAAGAAGGCUUCGGGUUGUAAACUUCUUUUAAGGGGGAAGAGCAGAAGACGGUACCCCUUGAAUAAGCCACGGCUAACUACGUGCC
This 138-nucleotide ribosomal RNA is filed under the name uncultured bacterium. RNAcentral's name for it is "partial 16S ribosomal RNA". It matches the Rfam family "Bacterial small subunit ribosomal RNA", at positions 355 to 509 of the family's 1533-position model. The record is from RNAcentral.